CUACGGGUUGCUGCAGUUGCGAAUAUUCUGCAAUGCGCGAAAGCGUGACAGAGUGAACCAAAGUGCUUUUCACAUGAAAAGCUUUUCUUUGUUUUAAAAAGACAGAGGAAUAAGGACUGGGUAAGAUCGGUGCCAGCCGCCGCGGUAAUCCCGACAGUCCAAGUUGCAGCCAGCAUUAUUGGGUCUAAAACAUCCGUAGCUUGCUUUACAAGUCUCUUGUGAAAUUUCAUAUCUCAAAUAUGAAGCGUGCAAGAGAUACUGUUCUGCUAGAGACCGGUAGAUGUAAGGAGUACACCUGAGGUAGUAGUAAAAUACGUUAAUCUUAGGCGGACUAACAAUUUAGCGAAGGCACCUUACAAGGACGGAUCUGACAGUGAGGGAUGAAGGCUAGGGGCGCAAAACGGAUUAGAUACCCCCGUAGUC
RNAcentral lists this ribosomal RNA (423 nucleotides) under uncultured archaeon. Its description in RNAcentral is "partial 16S ribosomal RNA". It matches the Rfam family "Archaeal small subunit ribosomal RNA", at positions 323 to 746 of the family's 1478-position model. The record is from RNAcentral.